CGCUGGCGGCACGCCUAAUACAUGCAAGUCGAACGAAGUAGCAAUACUUAGUGGCAGACGGGUGAGUAAUAUGUAGGUAUCUUCCCUUUGGUGAGGAAUAACACGAGGAAACUUGUGCUAAUACCUCAUAAGUCUUUACGGAGAAAGCUUUAUGCGCCAAUGGAUGAGCCUGCACUUGAUUAGUUUGUUGGUGGGGUAAUGGCCUACCAAGACUUUGAUCAAUAGCUGAUUUGAGAGGAUGAUCAGCCACAUUGGGACUGAGACACGGCCCAAACUCCUACGGGAGGCAGCAGUAGGGAAUCUUGCACAAUGGGGGAAACCCUGAUGCAGCGAUGCCGCGUGAGUGAAGAAGGCCUUUGGGUUGUAAAGCUCUUUCGUCGGGGAAGAAAAUGACUGUACCCGAAUAAGAAGGUCCGGCUAACUUCGUGCCAGCAGCCGCGGUAAUACGAAGGGACCUAGCGUAGUUCGGAAUUACUGGGCUUAAAGAGUUCGUAGGUGGUUAAAAAAGUUGGUGGUGAAAUCCCAGAGCUUAACUCUGGAACUGCCAUCAAAACUUUUUAGCUAGAGUAUGAUAGAGGAAAGCAGAAUUUCUAGUGUAGAGGUGAAAUUCGUAGAUAUUAGAAAGAAUACCGAUUGCGAAGGCAGCUUUCUGGAUCAUUACUGACACUGAGGAACGAAAGCAUGGGUAGCGAAGAGGAUUAGAUACCCUCGUAGUCCAUGCCGUAAACGAUGUGUGUUAGACGUUGGAAAUUUAUUUUCAGUGUCGCAGCGAAAGCAAUAAACACACCGCCUGGGGAGUACGACCGCA
This 808-nucleotide ribosomal RNA is filed under the name uncultured Pelagibacteraceae bacterium. Its description in RNAcentral is "bacterial SSU rRNA". It matches the Rfam family "Bacterial small subunit ribosomal RNA", at positions 34 to 890 of the family's 1533-position model. The record is from RNAcentral. Lineage: Bacteria; Pseudomonadati; Pseudomonadota; Alphaproteobacteria; Candidatus Pelagibacterales; Candidatus Pelagibacteraceae.